GACGAACGCUGGCGGCGUGCUUAACACAUGCAAGUCGAGCGGUAAGGCCCUUUCGGGGUACGACGAGCGGCGAACGGGUGAGUAACACGUGGGUGACCUGCCCUCAGCUCUGGGAUAAGCCUGGAAAACUGGGUCUAAUACCGGAUAUGACUCCAUGACGCAUGUUGUGGGGUGGAAAGCCUUGUGCGGCUGAGGAUGGGCCCGCGGCCUAUCAGCUUGUUGGUGGGGUGAGGCCUACCAAGGCGACGACGGGUAGCCGGCCUGAGAGGGCGACCGGCCACACUGGGACUGAGACACGGCCCAGACUCCUACGGGAGGCAGCAGUGGGGAAUCUUGCGCAAUGGGCGAAAGCCUGACGCAGCGACGCCGCGUGAGGGAUGACGGCCUCGGUUGUAA
RNAcentral lists this ribosomal RNA (396 nucleotides) under uncultured bacterium. RNAcentral's name for it is "bacterial SSU rRNA". It matches the Rfam family "Bacterial small subunit ribosomal RNA", at positions 28 to 428 of the family's 1533-position model. The record is from RNAcentral.